CAAAGGGGUUUCUGUCAUGAUUGGGACACAUUGGGUGCCUCAGUUGCUCUUUGUGCAGAAUUGACAUCAGGGAAUUUCAGAAGCAUAAUUUUUGUUGCUAGGACAGCUGGUGAUCAUUAGUCUGA
This 125-nucleotide small nuclear RNA is filed under the name Dasypus novemcinctus (nine-banded armadillo). Its description in RNAcentral is "U11 spliceosomal RNA (ENSDNOG00000029496.1)". It matches the Rfam family "U11 spliceosomal RNA". The record is from RNAcentral. Lineage: Eukaryota; Metazoa; Chordata; Mammalia; Cingulata; Dasypodidae.